UUCACUCAGUCUAGUCUCAGAAGAGCCAGGGAGAUCUACAGAGCUAAUGUCUUCUCAUUUGUCCUGAGUAGUAAGGUCAGUGCAGCUUCUGCCACGAGUUACAGAAACUGGAUAAUUCUCCCUAAGACUAUUACAGUAGUCUCCCAGGGACCUCUGUCUCCCACAAACUUCAGCUGCUGAGAAUUAACACGGAACCAGUUGCUCCAUGGUUCAUACCAGAUUCAAAAAGCUUGGUGUGAGAGGGAUGACAGGAGGUGCAUUACCUGAUACUACUGAGACUACAUUUGAAAACAUACUUGAACCACGCCAAAAAAAUCCUCUUCUGUAAUACUGCCAACUAAUAAAAAUGUCUAUUGUGUUAUCUGCAGGCUGAUUCCUCCUCACAACGGAUGUUCAGCACUGACCUCUUACAACCUUUGCCUCAUCUUUAGUUAGUUUACUCACCUUUUUUUGGUAGCUCAGUGGGAGUAUACUGUGAGUCUGGAGUGUGUAACAUAACUAUAUUUUCAGGUGCCAGACAAUACUUCAAAAUCCAGUUCAUAAAAGUUCAGCACUUUUCUGAGGGUUACAUGUUUCCAAACAGAGAGGUAGAGGUAGGAAGCUGUCUGUUACUCACUGACCUAUAAUGAAGAAAUGUGCUUUGGCCUUUCAACUAUGGGUGGAUGUCUUUAGUGCUUCCUAGACACCAUAGUGAUGAUUUUGCAUAGACAUGAGCGAUCAUCUGCUUGGAAGCUUCUGGCUGAAACACAAAACUUAAGCCUGUGCAGAGAGCUGUCAGCAGGCUUCAAUUGUGCACAGACAAGAACAGCAAGAGGUUCUGCGGGGGCUCAGAAGAGCAUAGUCUCACAUUAGAUGAAAGCAGAAACAUGGGACGGUCUGUUUCUAUCUUAUGCAGGCCGGCUGAAGCCAUCUGUCCCGGGCCAGCAUGCUAUCGCGCUGCCUUCCACCAGAGUGUGCAGCUAAACAAGACUGCCUUCUGCUGCACGGGGCUACGGGCGGCUCCAACAAUGCAGCCAGUCCUCAGCGCUUCUGGGCUCAAUUCGGUUAUGAAAGCGUGUUUUAAGGACUGCAGGAAAAGUGAACUAAUUAUUGGCAUGUAUUGAAAUGCUUUUCAUUUCCCACUGCAUCUCCUGCCUGAAAAUAUGCUAUUUGGGACCUGUGUUGUCACCCUGUGAUGUGUUCAUCUCUGCACACCAGGUUAUCAUGGGAAGAGUUUGACAGAUUACUUUGACAGCUUUGUGUUGUUCCUGUAUUUAUCUCUUUGGAAUUGUCUCACCCAAACUAAUUUUUUGGAGAGGACUUGAGCUUACUGCUAUGACAGCUUCCUAGACAUAGCUUGUCUCAGACCACUGCCUUACCUCCCCAACUGAUUGUGCCAUUGUGGAUUGGUUGAACCCCGAGCAGUAUGCUGGGUGGAAGUUAAAAGUGCAACAAGGGCUUACAAGUUUUGGUGCCCCAGAGAGUUGGAAGCUAUAUCCAAGCGUUGCCAUCUUCUGUGUGAUCCAAAGAAGCCUGCAAUUUGAAGUGGAGAAACACUUGUUGGACACUCAUGGAGCAUUGAAAACAGGGCCUGAUGAGCAGAGGCAUAUAUGGUACAGAGAGGAGAUGCUAAAUUUCUACAUGUAGCCCCUCUCAGUUGUGCAGCUUAGCUUGGGACAGUAACGAAAUCGAGGACUGACUCUAUGCUCCAAAGAAGACCAGUGAUGAUCCUGUUCCACCACUGACAGUUUGAAGUUGUGGGCCAGACUUCCUCUUCACCUUUUGAGCCUCGACUGACAAAAGAUCAAACAGUAAUCAGCUGUUAUGGCCACUGCACUUCAUGCCAGAGAUGAAUGUGCCAAUGAGAAGCAAAUGUGAGUUAAAGUUGUUAAGAGCAUCCCUUGUAGGAAUCUUUGCAUUGGUCAGUUAUGAGAUGCACAGAAACUUGUAUCCCACACCCAGGUGAUAUAAGGUGCUUCCAUCAUAAAUGUAAAGCACUUGCUUUACUUAUCUCUUUCACAGACCUUUUCAAGUAACACUUCUGAGGUUAUCAAAGAGACUUGUUGUGCCUUUCACUUGCAGCACAGAACAUCAGACUGGAUUUGCAGAUGGACACAGGCAGACUGAAUGCAAACACAGGUAACUUUUAAGCAGAGAGGGAUGGAUGGAUGGAUGGAUGGAUGGAUGGAUAGAGGGGGGGAAAAGAGAGGGAGGGGACACAAAGCUGUGAAUGUGCACAUAUGCAAAGACUUGUACGAGCAUGACCGUGCAAGUACACUAAGGCGUGAAUGAGCACGAAUGUGCAUGACUGUAUAUAUAUGUAUGCAAAGGCACAGAAGUGUGUAUGUGCAAAGGCAUGAACGCAAACAUGAACAUAAGCCCUUCCCUCCCCUUCUCCCUUUCCCUGUUUGUCUUUCCCCUUCUUUUUCCCUUCUCCCUGCUUCCCUUUGUCCUUCCUCUCUCCCUUCUCCUCUUUGCACUAACCCUGUCCCUUAGCUCUUCCCUUCCUUACUCCCUUCUCUUGUUCACCCUUCCUCCCUCUUACCCUUCCCCCUCUCUCCUCUCCUCCAGCUUUCCCUUCCUUUCUCCGUUCCACUCUUUCCUCCCUUUUCCCUCCCCUUCCAUCAUCCUUUUUCUCGUUCACCCUCGCCUGUCUCGCCUGUCUCGCCUGUCUCGCCUGUCUCGCCUGUCUCGCCUGUCUCGCCUGUCUCGCCUGUCUCGCCUGUCUCGCCUGUCUCGCCUGUCUCGCCUGUCUCGCCUGUCUCGCCUGUCUCGCCUG
Long non-coding RNA from Pogoniulus pusillus (Red-fronted tinkerbird), 2758 nucleotides. RefSeq lists it as uncharacterized. NCBI's taxonomy places the organism in Eukaryota, Metazoa, Chordata, Aves, Piciformes, Lybiidae. The transcript has 8 exons. The record is from RefSeq and is a predicted model, not a curated record.